GGGCGAUUAACUCAGUUGGUUUAGAGUGCCUGCUUUACACGCAGGAAGUCGGGAGUUCGAGUCUCUCAUCGCCCA
RNAcentral lists this transfer RNA (75 nucleotides) under Fidelibacterota bacterium. Its description in RNAcentral is "tRNA-Val". It matches the Rfam family "tRNA". From Rfam's summary of the family: Transfer RNA (tRNA) molecules are approximately 80 nucleotides in length. Their secondary structure includes four short double-helical elements and three loops (D, anti-codon, and T loops). Further hydrogen bonds mediate the characteristic L-shaped molecular structure. tRNAs have two regions of fundamental functional importance: the anti-codon, which is responsible for specific mRNA codon recognition, and the 3' end, to which the tRNAs corresponding amino acid is attached (by aminoacyl-tRNA synthetases). tRNAs cope with the degeneracy of the genetic code in two manners: having more than one tRNA (with a specific anti-codon) for a particular amino acid; and 'wobble' base-pairing, i.e. permitting non-standard base-pairing at the 3rd anti-codon position. The record is from RNAcentral. Lineage: Bacteria; Pseudomonadati; Fidelibacterota.